UCGGGAAUUUUGGGCAAUGGGCGAAAGCCUGACCCAGCAACGCCGCGUGAAGGAUGAAGUAUUUCGGUAUGUAAACUUCGAAAGAAUAGGAAGAAUAAAUGACGGUACUAUUUAUAAGGUCCGGCUAACUACGUGCCAGCAGCCGCGGUAAUACGUAGGGACCAAGCGUUGUUCGGAUUUACUGGGCGUAAAGGGCGCGUAGGCGGCAAUUCAAGUCAUCUGUGAAAUCUCUGGGCUUAACCCAGAACGGCCAAGUGAUACUGUCGCGCUAGAGUGCAGAAGGGGCAAUCGGAAUUCUUGGUGUAGCGGUGAAAUGCGUAGAUAUCAAGAGGAACACCUGAGGUGAAGACGGGUUGCUGGGCUGACACUGACGCUGAGGCGCGAAAGCCAGGGGAGCAAACGGGAUUAGAUACCCUGGUAGUCCCUG
This 427-nucleotide ribosomal RNA is filed under the name uncultured bacterium. Its description in RNAcentral is "bacterial SSU rRNA". It matches the Rfam family "Bacterial small subunit ribosomal RNA", at positions 355 to 799 of the family's 1533-position model. The record is from RNAcentral.